RNAcentral lists this unclassified non-coding RNA (343 nucleotides) under soil metagenome. Its description in RNAcentral is "partial contains 5.8S ribosomal RNA, internal transcribed spacer 2, and large subunit ribosomal RNA". The stretch from base 1 to 120 matches the Rfam family "5.8S ribosomal RNA", at positions 35 to 154 of the family's 154-position model. The record is from RNAcentral.
GAUGAAGAACGUAGCGAAAUGCGAUAAGUAAUGUGAAUUGCAGAAUUCAGUGAAUCAUCGAAUCUUUGAACGCACAUUGCGCCCGCCAGCAUUCUGGCGGGCAUGCCUGUUCGAGCGUCAUUUCAACCCUCGAGCCCCCCCGGGGGCCUCGGUGUUGGGGGACGGCACACCAGCCGCCCCCGAAAUGCAGUGGCGACCCCGCCGCAGCCUCCCCUGCGUAGUAGCACACACCUCGCACCGGAGCGCGGAGGCGGUCACGCCGUAAAACACCCAACUCUUCUGAAGUUGACCUCGAAUCAGGUAGGAAUACCCGCUGAACUUAAGCAUAUCAAUAAGCGGAGGA